Molecule: ribosomal RNA, 1530 nt
Filed under: Escherichia coli HVH 175 (4-3405184)
Lineage: Bacteria; Pseudomonadati; Pseudomonadota; Gammaproteobacteria; Enterobacterales; Enterobacteriaceae
Description: bacterial SSU rRNA
Rfam family: Bacterial small subunit ribosomal RNA
Source: RNAcentral
AGAGUUUGAUCAUGGCUCAGAUUGAACGCUGGCGGCAGGCCUAACACAUGCAAGUCGAACGGUAACAGGAAACAGCUUGCUGUUUCGCUGACGAGUGGCGGACGGGUGAGUAAUGUCUGGGAAACUGCCUGAUGGAGGGGGAUAACUACUGGAAACGGUAGCUAAUACCGCAUAACGUCGCAAGACCAAAGAGGGGGACCUUAGGGCCUCUUGCCAUCGGAUGUGCCCAGAUGGGAUUAGCUAGUAGGUGGGGUAACGGCUCACCUAGGCGACGAUCCCUAGCUGGUCUGAGAGGAUGACCAGCCACACUGGAACUGAGACACGGUCCAGACUCCUACGGGAGGCAGCAGUGGGGAAUAUUGCACAAUGGGCGCAAGCCUGAUGCAGCCAUGCCGCGUGUAUGAAGAAGGCCUUCGGGUUGUAAAGUACUUUCAGCGGGGAGGAAGGGAGUAAAGUUAAUACCUUUGCUCAUUGACGUUACCCGCAGAAGAAGCACCGGCUAACUCCGUGCCAGCAGCCGCGGUAAUACGGAGGGUGCAAGCGUUAAUCGGAAUUACUGGGCGUAAAGCGCACGCAGGCGGUUUGUUAAGUCAGAUGUGAAAUCCCCGGGCUCAACCUGGGAACUGCAUCUGAUACUGGCAAGCUUGAGUCUCGUAGAGGGGGGUAGAAUUCCAGGUGUAGCGGUGAAAUGCGUAGAGAUCUGGAGGAAUACCGGUGGCGAAGGCGGCCCCCUGGACGAAGACUGACGCUCAGGUGCGAAAGCGUGGGGAGCAAACAGGAUUAGAUACCCUGGUAGUCCACGCCGUAAACGAUGUCGACUUGGAGGUUGUGCCCUUGAGGCGUGGCUUCCGGAGCUAACGCGUUAAGUCGACCGCCUGGGGAGUACGGCCGCAAGGUUAAAACUCAAAUGAAUUGACGGGGGCCCGCACAAGCGGUGGAGCAUGUGGUUUAAUUCGAUGCAACGCGAAGAACCUUACCUGGUCUUGACAUCCACGGAAGUUUUCAGAGAUGAGAAUGUGCCUUCGGGAACCGUGAGACAGGUGCUGCAUGGCUGUCGUCAGCUCGUGUUGUGAAAUGUUGGGUUAAGUCCCGCAACGAGCGCAACCCUUAUCCUUUGUUGCCAGCGGUCCGGCCGGGAACUCAAAGGAGACUGCCAGUGAUAAACUGGAGGAAGGUGGGGAUGACGUCAAGUCAUCAUGGCCCUUACGACCAGGGCUACACACGUGCUACAAUGGCGCAUACAAAGAGAAGCGACCUCGCGAGAGCAAGCGGACCUCAUAAAGUGCGUCGUAGUCCGGAUUGGAGUCUGCAACUCGACUCCAUGAAGUCGGAAUCGCUAGUAAUCGUGGAUCAGAAUGCCACGGUGAAUACGUUCCCGGGCCUUGUACACACCGCCCGUCACACCAUGGGAGUGGGUUGCAAAAGAAGUAGGUAGCUUAACCUUCGGGAGGGCGCUUACCACUUUGUGAUUCAUGACUGGGGUGAAGUCGUAACAAGGUAACCGUAGGGGAACCUGCGGUUGGAUCACCU